Non-coding RNA from Nicotiana tabacum (common tobacco), 1644 nucleotides. Lineage: Eukaryota; Viridiplantae; Streptophyta; Magnoliopsida; Solanales; Solanaceae. The record is from RefSeq and is a predicted model, not a curated record.
UUCACAGUUUCUCUUUCUCAAGAACAACAUGUGUUAAUGCUUCUCUCUUCAAGUUAUCUAAGUUUUCUCUCUCUACUUUCCAUUUGGAAUCUCUUGAUCAACCACUAUUUGGGAUCUCCAGUUGGUGAAAUUAUAUAACAAAAAUUUGUGCUAUAAUUAUCGGCGACACGGCGAAAGAAUCGAUUUUCCUGAUGGUAAAAAGACCUCAAGGCUCUAUUAGGUUUUUGACUGGCUAAGGGAGUAAAGGUGGCCUUUUCGCAAAUCGCAACGGUGAAUGUGUGAAGUUUUAUCUGGGUUGUCAAUUUUUUCACAACUUCUACUCUAAAAGACAUAUGUAACCAAUGAAAGAAGGUUACUCUUUCAUGUUUACCUUUAUCUAGUCCAGCAGGAUGUCUUAAGGAAGGAGGUCUUGGCAUGUUAACUUGUACUUAGGGAAAAAUAUCUGUCAAAAAGAGCCUAUUUGCUAUGAAACUUUUGCAUAAUAUUUCGAAGUGUGAUUAGGCAAUAGACACUAAUGUAGUUUCCAUUUCUCUGUCUCUUCUUUCAGAUAGAUGGCAACAUGUUUUGAGCGGAGACCUAUAUGAAAUGUGUAGUUAUUGACUUAUUUCCCCUAUUUGAUUAUGUUUCCUAGAUCCGAUUGUACUAUUUUAUUAAAGUAUAUUGCAGUUGGCUGUAAGUUAGGUAUUUAUGUUAGUAAUUGUUGGCCAUACUAGAUGCAUGAAUGGCUGCUAAUUAUCGUCUCUGUAGUCUGUUUAAGGAUGAUACAAGUAAUAAUUAGUACUUUAAAAAACAAAGGAUCGCAAUGAUUAGUAUCAUCUAGGCUUAGCUGGGAAUUUAUUGGAGAUUACGUGCACAUUAUUUUGUCCGGAGAAAAAGCUAUCUGUAGUUAUUGGGGGCAGGCCGGUGCACAAAGUAUCCCGCAUUCACGCAGGGUCCGGGGAAGGACGCCACCCCAAGGGGUGUGAUGUAGACAGCCUAUUCUAAUGCCAAGCAUUAGUGGCUGCUUCCACGGCUCGAACCCGUGACUAAUAAGUCACACAGAGAUAAUUUUACCGUUGCUCCAAUGCUCCCCUUCAUGAUAUGUAGUUAUUGCGAUGUAAUAAUGUCAAUGAUACGUUUCCAGGUCAGACAUUUGGUUUCUGAGGAAUUUGAAUGCUUUAGAAAUGUCAUUCUAUUCUUCUAUAUGACGUUACUAAUAAAUGCAGAAUCUACACUUUUCUUUUUUUAUCUGCACUCUUAUUUUUGGUAAAACGGUAUGAUUAGUGGAAAUCCUUUAAUUGCAUAGCUGCAAAUGGGCUAGCCAGCCGUUUAAACUUUACAAGGAUACUUUUUUGUAGCCACAAGGCUACAUUUAGUUGAAGCCUUACGGCUGUUGCUUGAGAAAUUAUGCUUACUGUGAUGCCAUUAGUAUCAUGCAGCUACCUUUCCAGUUUCAAUAAAAUUGAAAUAUUUCGCCUCUAAUGUAGGGGUGGCAUGUGGGCCGGUACGGGCCCUAAACGGGCAAAGUGGGCCGGUCCAAAUGGUACUGGUCCCGGUCCCUAACUAAACGGGCCAAACGGUCUUUUUCUAGGAACUGGCCCGAGACCGGGCCCACAAACUCAUGGUCUCGGGCUAAACGGGCCGGGCCCGCGGGCUAAAUGAGCC